UCGUACGGGUGGAGUAUUUCACUACACAGCAGGUCUGCAGACCACAAACACUCAUUAUUUUGUCUUUUCCUAAAAUUUACGAGUGUACGACUUUGACGUGCAAAAGUUUACCGGCACUACGGUACCAUGUAUUCAAUCGAUGCGCCUUUACUUGAAGCUACAUUUACAUCGCAAUAUAACAGGGGUCACCAAUUAAUAUUUUUGAAGGGCCACAUUAGGAACCUGAAAAUUUUUCGUGGGCCUUCAAAAUUCAAAGUAUAUGUAUAUUCACAUUAUUUUAAACCGAUAAUAUUCAACAAAAAUAAUAAUUUACAAUAAUAAUACAUUUAAUGUUGUAAUAUUGAAUAUAAUAUUAUGAUAGGUAUACGAUUGCAGGUUUCAUUUAGCUGUUCUAGUCUAACACAAAGUUAUACAGAUCUAUUUCGACACGCGUAACGGAUAUCAUUUCAUGUGUAGGUCUGAAUUUUUUUGUCUACAGUGACCAGAUCGGGUGUCACGAUAAUUCAAAAUGUACAAUAAUACGUGUUUAAAACGGCUACGCGUGAAGUCAUAUAAUAAUUAUGAAAAUCAGUAAAAAUGGUUUUGCGGACGAAUGUGUAAUAGCUACAGUGCAGGCAAAUUCCGCUUAGAUCGAACCAACGGUGACGAUUUAAUAUGAACUAAAAUUAUAUUAUAUAUUUAUAUAUUAUGCAGAAUUCACGCAUAUUAUAUGAGCCCCCGUGUGUAAAGGAAAGCAUUUUAUCUUAUGUACCUAUACAAAAUAUAUAUGUCAAUAAAACGCCGUUCCACUAUUUAUGUGAAUACUAUUUUUUUUUCAUUUUUAGUCAUUGUUUCCGUAAACUAUAUAAUUGUUUGUGUUGUGUUAAAACUUUUUUCUCAGAAAAAAUAUUAAAUUUUGUUUGAAAAUAUUAAUAUUAAUACGGUCAACAGUAAUCUAUUUAUCCAUAUAGGUACACAAUCAACGCAUAGAACAUUAAAACAUUCAUAUUACAACGUAUAAAGAUAUUUUUAUUUUUUUAAUUAACAACACAGGAAACGAUUAAUUUUGUAUUCAAUUUUGUGGAUUUAUGCGUUAUAGAAAUUCACUGUCGGUGUCAAGUAUUCAAGUUGAACUUACAAAUUAAUCAUAAAGAAUGUUGAAGACGUUCGGCAGUAUCCGGUCAAGGAUUCGGUUCAGUUGAUCGUACCGGCCGAGAACUCGGUCCUUUGACAUUAUCCAAUUAUUUGACGGUUUUUCGGCGAACAGUAUCCGUGAACAAUAUGCAUAGUAUCAUUCUCGAAAACUUCGAGGAGUCUUUCACAGUUAUCUUUGCGCCGAAUAGAAUCUAUGAAACGACCAGAAUCCCCAAGCAAUACGGAAUACUCCAAUUUGCGGCACUUGUAACUGGCUGUUGACGCGAUUAUGAUAUAAGCACGACGACUUCAAUUUGGAACAAUUCUAAAUACUUGGCGAACGGCUCGAGAGCAAUAAUAUAAAAGUGACAGAAUAAACUUGUGUACGACUCAACUAACUCUGUGUAAAAUUUAAAAUUAAUUAUAAAACUACGAUUUUUAACAUA
This is a long non-coding RNA of Rhopalosiphum maidis (corn leaf aphid), 1559 nucleotides long. RefSeq lists it as uncharacterized. The transcript is spliced from 2 exons. The record is from RefSeq and is a predicted model, not a curated record. NCBI's taxonomy places the organism in Eukaryota, Metazoa, Arthropoda, Insecta, Hemiptera, Aphididae.